GGGGGUGCAUUGGAAUUCGACUGGGAUCAGGCGAUGGGAGGGAAGCAAGCCGUGGUUGGUCGAAGGGCCACGAUAAAAAUCGAUUGUAUAAGUAACUGCUAACAACAGCGAAUACACCCUGAACGAAGUGGCAAUCGCCGCCUAGUUCAGGUUCCGGCCCCAAGCUAACGCUAACGGGCUGGGCGGAAGAUGCGAGGAUGCCACAUAGUCGUAGCCUUCUGUAACUCCAUGCGGCUGGUCUCGGAUGAUUCAACGGCAUUCGGGAUGAGAAACACGUUGAUGGUGAGGCUUGAGGUCGUCUGCUACCAAGAGAGUCCCACAAGACACCAAACAGACUAAGCUUGUAGAAGACUCAAAUCCCAAUCCACAGGACGCGGGUUCGACUCCCGCCACCUCCACCA
RNAcentral lists this transfer-messenger RNA (401 nucleotides) under Candidatus Lambdaproteobacteria bacterium RIFOXYD1_FULL_56_27. It matches the Rfam family "transfer-messenger RNA". From Rfam's summary of the family: Bacterial tmRNA, also known as 10Sa RNA or SsrA, is named for its dual tRNA and mRNA-like properties. Its role is to liberate the mRNA from a stalled ribosome. RNAcentral also lists the same sequence under 2 other names. Lineage: Bacteria; Pseudomonadati; Pseudomonadota; Candidatus Lambdaproteobacteria. The record is from RNAcentral.